This 1697-nucleotide ribosomal RNA is filed under the name Enterobacter hormaechei. Its description in RNAcentral is "partial 23S ribosomal RNA". It matches the Rfam family "Bacterial large subunit ribosomal RNA", at positions 1252 to 2925 of the family's 2925-position model. Lineage: Bacteria; Pseudomonadati; Pseudomonadota; Gammaproteobacteria; Enterobacterales; Enterobacteriaceae. The record is from RNAcentral.
GAAGGUGUGCUGUGAGGCAUGCUGGAGGUAUCAGAAGUGCGAAUGCUGACAUAAGUAACGAUAAAGCGGGUGAAAAGCCCGCUCGCCGGAAGACCAAGGGUUCCUGUCCAACGUUAAUCGGGGCAGGGUGAGUCGACCCCUAAGGCGAGGCCGAAAGGCGUAGUCGAUGGGAAACAGGUUAAUAUUCCUGUACUUGGUGUUACUGCGAAGGGGGGACGGAGAAGGCUAUGUCAGCCGGGCGACGGUUGUCCCGGUUUAAGCAUGUAGGCGGAGGUUCCAGGUAAAUCCGGUACCUUAUUAACGCUGAGGUGUGAUGACGAGGCACUACGGUGCUGAAGUGAUAAAUGCCCUGCUUCCAGGAAAAGCCUCUAAGCAUCAGGUAACACGAAAUCGUACCCCAAACCGACACAGGUGGUCAGGUAGAGAAUACCAAGGCGCUUGAGAGAACUCGGGUGAAGGAACUAGGCAAAAUGGUGCCGUAACUUCGGGAGAAGGCACGCUGAUAGGUAGGUGAAGUCCCUGCGGACGGAGCUGAAAUCAGUCGAAGAUACCAGCUGGCUGCAACUGUUUAUUAAAAACACAGCACUGUGCAAACACGAAAGUGGACGUAUACGGUGUGACGCCUGCCCGGUGCCGGAAGGUUAAUUGAUGGGGUUAGCGGCAACGCGAAGCUCUUGAUCGAAGCCCCGGUAAACGGCGGCCGUAACUAUAACGGUCCUAAGGUAGCGAAAUUCCUUGUCGGGUAAGUUCCGACCUGCACGAAUGGCGUAAUGAUGGCCAGGCUGUCUCCACCCGAGACUCAGUGAAAUUGAACUCGCUGUGAAGAUGCAGUGUACCCGCGGCAAGACGGAAAGACCCCGUGAACCUUUACUAUAGCUUGACACUGAACACUGGUCCUUGAUGUGUAGGAUAGGUGGGAGGCUUUGAAGCGUGGACGCCAGUCUGCGUGGAGCCAACCUUGAAAUACCACCCUUUAAUGGCUGGUGUUCUAACGUAGACCCGUAAUCCGGGUUGCGGACAGUGUCUGGUGGGUAGUUUGACUGGGGCGGUCUCCUCCCAAAGAGUAACGGAGGAGCACGAAGGUUGGCUAAUCCUGGUCGGACAUCAGGAGGUUAGUGCAAUGGCAUAAGCCAGCUUGACUGCGAGCGUGACGGCGCGAGCAGGUGCGAAAGCAGGUCAUAGUGAUCCGGUGGUUCUGAAUGGAAGGGCCAUCGCUCAACGGAUAAAAGGUACUCCGGGGAUAACAGGCUGAUACCGCCCAAGAGUUCAUAUCGACGGCGGUGUUUGGCACCUCGAUGUCGGCUCAUCACAUCCUGGGGCUGAAGUAGGUCCCAAGGGUAUGGCUGUUCGCCAUUUAAAGUGGUACGCGAGCUGGGUUUAGAACGUCGUGAGACAGUUCGGUCCCUAUCUGCCGUGGGCGCUGGAGAAUUGAGGGGGGCUGCUCCUAGUACGAGAGGACCGGAGUGGACGCAUCACUGGUGUUCGGGUUGUCAUGCCAAUGGCACUGCCCGGUAGCUAAAUGCGGAAGAGAUAAGUGCUGAAAGCAUCUAAGCACGAAACUUGCCCCGAGAUGAGUUCUCCCUGAGACUUUAAGUCUCCUGAAGGAACGUUGAAGACGACGACGUUGAUAGGUCGGGUGUGUAAGCGCAGCGAUGCGUUGAGCUAACCGAUACUAAUGAACCGUGAGGCUUAACCUU